RNAcentral lists this long non-coding RNA (6531 nucleotides) under Nicotiana tabacum (common tobacco). RNAcentral describes it as "long non-coding RNA (NTAB_LNC013465)". The record is from RNAcentral. Lineage: Eukaryota; Viridiplantae; Streptophyta; Magnoliopsida; Solanales; Solanaceae.
AGCCCUCCUUUCCUCUUUUUUAUUUAUUCUCUCAACUCCCAUCAUCCUAAUCAAUCAAAGAACCUUGCACAAAUUCGUGCAAGGUCUCAAAUAGCCCAUGAAAUCGUCCCCUUUGCCUCCUGAAUCCGUGAAUCUCGCUGGUUUCUUCCCGUUUCAUCUCUCAAAUUUAAAAAUUCCCAAAUCCGAAACCUUAGACCAAAUGAUGCAAUGUCAAGUCUUCAGAAAUCUUCUUUAUUUUGUUAAAUCAGUGGCAUGCAUGGCCGUCUCCCAGUGCUAUCAUAUUUAUUCUUGGUCCAGAGGUCAAGUGAAGCGACCUCUGGAUAUUGAGGCUCUUACCUGAUGGAGUUUUCCUUCAACGGUCAACUUUCCCCCCUCUCAGGUAAAAUCCCUACUAAUUUCCCUCUAUCUUCUCAGAUUUUCACCCGAUUAUGCUAAUAUCACUACUCCUUUGUCACUCUCCACCACCGAGUUUGAUUUCUGUUGAACCUAAGGUAUUGAAUUCCACUACAAAAUGGGACUUUAAAUGCUCUCACCUAACAGACCUAACACAAGAUACACAUAAAAUCACUUAGCAAAUAGAGAAAUAUCAACUUUAGUCUUGAGUGGUAAAAAUAGGGUUUUCUAACUAGCUUCUGAUUUCUUCUGAUUUCGAGUUCUGCACUGGUCAGAGUUUGAGUUCUUGAUUCCUGAACAGCUAACAAAAAUCCUUGUUUGGUUUGCUUCUCAAAGGAAGGUCAGGGAGCGUCGAUCCUUCCUCUCCUUUAACUGUUUAGUUAAAAUUAUGCCUACUCUAUUAUCUUCUGUUAAUUAACUUUGCUCAUGACGUGUUUUUAUUAGUUUAUAAUUGAUUAUCUUUGCUUAUAAUGUGUUAUUAUUAGUUCAUAAUUGACAUUAUGCUUUGAUAUUAUUUCCCUCAAUGAUCUGAAGCUAAACCAAUACUAAUCGACAAUUUUGUAAUCUUGAUGAAUAUGCAAUGUGUGAUUAACAAAGAACCAUAUUAAUUAUGUACAUCUGCUUUGACCUUAAAAUUCCCUGAUGACUUUGUUAUGGUCCUCAUGCUUACUUUAAUAAUCCUUACUUAGUGUUACUUGUUGAUUUGUAUCAUGUACUUAAGGUUAUCUAUCUGAUAAAUCAAAAGUAGAAAAAGGGAUAUGAACACUUAAGGUUAAAUACAUGGCUAUCAUUUUAGUUACGACAUACCAGUUUAAGUUGUUUGGGUUGCUUUCUCUCUUCCAAUGUGCUUAUGGAAUUCUGAUACCUCUUAAGAGAUCACUGCAAAGGUUUUUCUGUAAACUUUCUUGAUUGUGUGAUCAUAUCUGUGAAGCCUCACCCAAAUGUAAAUAUUUCUGAAAUGAAACUGGUUUAAGUUCUUAUGAGUUUCUGUAGUUAAUCUUAUAUGAACUCUGAUUGCUACUGUUAAACUAGACCAAGCAUGUUUAGAAUUGUCUUCAAGGAUCUGAUUAAGAAAUAGAGUCUGGUUGAGAGUUAUAGCUAUUGUACAUGUAUAUCAUUCUUGAACUGACCAUACUAAGUUAAACUUCAUCAUUCUUGGACUAAUGCAUUCACCUAUUUAACUGGACUAGUUUUCUUGCUACUAGAACCAUGCUUAUUUCAUGUGAAACCUUCCUUGUCCUAGACUUAUGUACUAAAUUUGUUGGUCUGACCCUAUGAUGUUUGACAUUCUACCAUGUUGUAGUCUUGCACUCCUUAAGGAUAUCUCUUGUAAGUGCUUAGUUGUCUUCUCCUGGUUUUUCUGCACUCAUUCAUUAAACAAACUUCAUGCUUACCUUUCAUACUCAUGCUUAUGCUCUCAUAUUGUACUAUCACACACGGGAAAUUAAGCCUUUCUAGGCCUACAUAGUUAACUGUGACUCACCUGUACACUUAAGGGAAGCUCUAAAUGCAUACCUCCCUUGUCAGAACAUUACCUUGCGUUUAUAUGAAUGUCUUAACUCCUAAUGAGCCUAGUAUAAAUGUGAGGUUAUUAGCCUUUAAAGAUCAUGUCAUCUGCUUAUGUAAAGAUCAAUUUGCUCGCUUAAGUGUACUUCUUAAUAUGCUUUAAGGAUUUUGAAUGAGGCUGUUAACUCAUACUAUUAGUAGAGAUUAAGACUUAGUCUAUGAAUUAAUCUUUAAUUAAUUCAAAACAUAGUCUAAUAAGCUGUCAAGGUAUUAUGAGCAGGGUCUCUUGUAAAAUUUGAAAUUAUCAGUAGAUGCAUGAGUCUCCUUACUCCUUAAUCAUAUGACUGAAUGUUUGGAUUCCUAAAUAAUUUGUUGGUGUUUCCUCUCUUUGGUUGUACAUGCUUUGGCUUCUUUGAGUAUUCCUAAGUUUGUUGAAGAUGUUGGCAAUGUACUACACCCUUGUGUUUGGAUUGUGAUCCUUAUGGUUUUAUUUUCUAUCACAAUAUUCAUAGUAAUAUUUUGUAUAAUCUCUGUGAGAAUUGUAUAUACCUCUGUUAUAUUAUUACUGUUUUAGAGCUACAGUGAGUGCCUCACUGGCACUUAAACCUAUAGGUAAGAGUAAGUGUGAGUGGUUAAGGGUAUUUGGGAGUAAGGUUUAGUUUGUGUUUGAGAUGCCCUUCCUGACACAAGCACUACUCGGGGUCCUUGAGACUCUUUGUCACGACCCAAAAUCUCAACUUAGCCGGUCGGGUGGGGAUCGGACACCAUGCCAUACAUAUGGUGGUUCCUCCUUCUUAUCAUUAUAUUUGAUUUGUAUCACCAUGCCGAUCCAUAUUCAUUCGUGGUGAGAUGGCUUAUCCGAUCAAGCGGAGAUCAAACUCUAUGCCAUGGGCACAGGGGUAAUGGGUAUCCAUGUCCACUCGCAUUGGGAUGAGACGUCUUAGUCAGUCAAGCGGUGAUCAGACUCCAUGCCUCGUGCAUGAUGUGACGAUCGGUGGCUAAUGCUCUCCCAACCAAACAUAGUGAUGCUUAUUUUAAAAUUGGUUAUGUCUUAACUUGGCUUUUAGAUAUUAUUGGUUUUCCUUGCUGCUUUCAUGAUUCUCUCCUUCUUAUGUUGGCAUUCUAUUCCAAGAGAGGGUAUUUAGCUUUACAUACUUAUACUAUUCCAUGUGUACUAAUGUCUCUUUUGUCGGGGACGCUGCAUCUUUAAUGGAUGCAGGUGGCUCCAUAGCAGGUGACUCAGGUUCUUGAUAGGUGUUCCCUCUUCUCAACUGACUUGGUGAGCCCUACUCUAUAUCAGGGUGGUAUGUUUGUACUGACACUUUUAUAUUAUUUUGAGGUAUAGACAUGACCUUAUCACCGGCAUCUCCACACUAUUAUCAUGUCAUUCAGAGGCUCCGUAGACAUACUAUGGGUCGUGUUUUGAAUGGGGGAAAACUAUAAAUAUCGUUCCUGUCAGUUGAUCUCACUUACAAACUAUGAACUUGUAUUAUGUUGCCUUCUACAAAUGAAUCUAAUUUGUGAAAUUGGAAGUGUACAUUUUACCCUCUUGUUUGACUAUAUGUUCGUAUUUAUUCAUGACUUAUUUAUAGGCAUAGUUGAACGGUAGGCACUAAGUAGGCUUGCUUGACUGGGGUAACUCGGUUGAGCGUCGGUCUCGCUCCCUAAGGUUGGGGCAUGACAAUUGUAACGACCUGAUCAGUCGUUUUGAGUAUUGUAGCCAUGUUCCCCCAUUUACCGCUUCUUAUAUGUUUAAGUAUGGUUAUGUGACUUGCCGGGGUGGUUGGUUUGGUUACGGGGAUGUUUCGGGGUGAAAUGGGAUACUUAGUCCCAAGGUUGAACGUUUAAGUUGAAAGAAUUGACCGGAGUUUGACUUUUAUGUAGACGACUCCGGAAUGGAGUUUUGAUGGUUCAAAUAGCUUCGUAUUAUGAUUUUGGACUUAGGCGUAUGUCUGGAUGUUGAAUUAGACGUCUAUAGUCAUUUUGACUCAAAUUGGCGAAAGUUGGAAACUUGAAGGUUUGGAAGGUUGAGAAGUUUGAUCGAGAGUUGACUUCAUUGAUAUCGGGUUCCAAUUUUGGUUUUGGGAGUUGGAAUAGGUUUGUUGUAUUAUUUAUGACUUAUGUGCAAAAUUUGAGGUCAGUUGGAGUUGGUUUGGUAUGAUUCGACAUUAGUUUGAGAAGCUAGAAGUUCAUAAGUUCAUUAGGCUUGGAUUGGGGUGCGAUUAAUGAUUUCGGUAUUGUUUGAUGUGAUUUAAGGCUUCGACUAAGUUCGUAUCAUGUUUUAUGACCUGUUGGUAUGUUUGGAUAGGGUCUCGGGGGCGUCGGGUGUGUUUCGGAUCAAGUUCGAACUUACUUUGGACUUUGUUGGAUUGUUGAUGUCUGUGCUUCUGGUUUCCUCUUUUGCGACCGCGAGGAGAGGGACGCGAUCGCGGAGGGUAAGGUCUGGCAGGUGGGAGUUUGUUCUAUGCGAUCGCAUGGUUAAGGCUACGACCGCGAUGACAUGAGGGAGUUGUGUUACGCGAUCACGUGGGAGGAGACAUAUUCACGAAGAAGGAAGAGGGGCCUGGGAUUUCCAUGUGUUGUUCAGCGUGAUCACGUGAGGUUGUCUGUGAUCUCGUAGGUCAGGGAAAUUAAUCACGACAUUCCUGGAGUGUGUGUUCGCGUAGAAGGUUAUUGGCUACUGAAGGUUUUGUUCUUCGCAAUCGCAUGGGAAAUUCCGCGAUCGCGUGGGAAAUUUUGUGAUCGCGUAGUGUAAUCACUGGGCAGCAUAUAUUUAAUUCCAAAUCGAGGGUUAGAGUACCAUUUUCAUAUUUUGAGUUAUAGAGCUCGGUUUUGGGCGAUCUUAGAGGGGAUUUUCACGUCUUAGAUUGGGGUAAGUGUUUUUGACUUGGAUAUUUUAGUAUUUCAUGAUUCCAUCUUCGUUUUUAGUAUUUAAAUAAUGAAUCAAAGUGAAGAAAUGAAGGAUUUUGUGGAAACUUUUCAAAAAUGAAAAAUGGAGGUUGGAAGGUCGAUUUGAGGUCAGAAUAGGAUGAUUUUGGUAUGGUUGGACUCGUAAUUGAAUGGGUGUUCGAAUUUUAUGAAUUUUAUUGGGUUCCGAGGUGUGAUCCCAAGGCUGACCUUUUGGGUUAACUUUUUGAUUUUUGAUAAAGAUCGAAACUUUAUUGUUUGAAGUUGUUUCCUGCAACAUUAUUUAUUGAUAUUGAGUUGUUUGUGACUAGAUUCGAGUCAUUUGGAGGCCGAUACGCGUGGGAAGGGCUUGUUGGAGUUGUGAUUUGCACGGUUAGAGAUAAGCAACACUUCUAAACUUUGAUUUGAGUGCAUUUAACCCUAAGGACUAUGUUAUGUGAAAGAUAGUGGGGUGACGUACGCGCUUGAUGACGGGAAUGUGUGUGCGCACCAAUUUGUUCAUAGUUUGGGGAGGCCUUUAGGCUAAUACCAAGUUUGUUUUGCUGUCACAUCAUGUUACCCCCGAGUCCUCUCUACCUGUUUGAUUAUGUUGAACUGUGAAUCAUGUUAGACAUCAUGUCUAGGCUACGUGAUAACUGUUUGAGACUUGAUAGGACUAUUCUUGCUAUUUCUAAGUUAUAUACCUUAUUUGCACACAUGUUCUCAGUCAUGAUACUAUAUCCAUGUAUGAUAUCUCUGUCUCAAUACUUCUUAAUUGAUUACUCACAUGUUGCUGAUAUCGCUUAAGGGUAAAACUGUUUAAUUGAAUAUUUGAGAUGUGCUCAUCUGAGACUUGAAUGAUAAAUGACUGAGUUUUGGUCGUAGAUCCGGUUUGGUACUAAUUUUGAGGUGAUGCGUACACCAUGCCCAUAUUGGGCUGAGUGUUAUUUUUUGAGGCGAGGCGCGCACCAGGCCUCAUUAUUGGGCUAAGUGAUUAUAGUUAGCACUUCGGUAGGAUCCGUCCCUCCGGAGUCUGACAUGCCAGCAGUGGGCGCAUGCAUGGUGUUUCAUAUAUAUGCUUGAUGAUGGGCAGUUAUGCUAGGAACUCGUACAGUGCCAAGUGUUAAUACACUUGAUGGAUCUUUUGUGAUACUGUUGAUUUACGUGUAUACUCUACAUGUAGGCAUAGAGAUAUACUUUCGUCAUGCUAACUGGAAAUUGACCUACUUUAUCUGUGUUGGGUUUUAAACUGUUAUACUUGAAAGCAUACCUAAAUUCCUAAAAUAAGAACGAGAUGUAAUUGAUAUCAUUGAUUUACUAUUUCUAUAGUUUAUACUGUAUUUGUUGAACUGUUAUUGGUUAUUGGUACUGGCACUUGACUGUUGUUCUAAGCUCAUCUCUACUUUCAACCCAAGGUUAGUAUUGUUAUUUAUUGAGUAGAUUGGGUCGGUUGUACUCAUACUACACUCUGCACUUCGUGUGCAGAUCCAGGUACAUUCGGUUGAAGUGAUUUUCAGGCUUGAGUCAUGCUAGCUAGUUGGGAGACUACGAGGUAGCUGCCAUACCAUCUGCAGUCCUUGAAGUUCUCUUCCUGUUAUCUUUAUCUUUACUAUUUUCAUGAUCAGACGGUUGUAUUAAAGUAUUAUUUUGUACCUUGUUAUUCAGUAGUGCUCGUGUACUUGUUGACACCAGAUUUUGUGGUUGGUUGCAGUAGCAUUUUGACUUAUUCUCAUAUAUUUUUAUGGU